UACGGAGGGUGCAAGCGUUAUCCGGAUUUACUGGGUUUAAAGGGUGCGCAGGCGGAUACGUAAGUCAGUGGUGAAAUCUCCGGGCUUAACCCGGAAACUGCCGUUGAUACUAUAUAUCUUGAAUGCUGUGGAGGUAAGCAGAAUAUGUCAUGUAGCGGUGAAAUGCUUAGAGAUGACAUAGAAUACCUAUUGCGAAGGCAGCUUACUACGCAGAUAUUGACGCUCAUGCACGAAAGCGUGGGGAUCAAACAGG
This 253-nucleotide ribosomal RNA is filed under the name uncultured bacterium. RNAcentral describes it as "partial 16S ribosomal RNA". It matches the Rfam family "Bacterial small subunit ribosomal RNA", at positions 524 to 776 of the family's 1533-position model. The record is from RNAcentral.